UACGUAGGGGGCAAGCGUUAUCCGGAAUUAUUGGGCGUAAAGCGCGCGUAGGCGGCUUGUUAAGUCAGGCGUGAAAUCCGGGGGCUUAACCCGCGGCUUGCGUCUGAAACUGGCAGGCUUGAGUCUGGUAGAGGAGUGUGGAAUUCCCAGUGUAGCGGUGAAAUGCGCAGAUAUCAGGAGGAACACCAGUGGCGAAGGCGGCUUUCUGGGCCACGACUGACGCUGAGGCGCGAAAGCUAGGGGAG
RNAcentral lists this ribosomal RNA (245 nucleotides) under uncultured Actinomycetes bacterium. RNAcentral describes it as "uncultured actinobacterium partial 16S ribosomal RNA". It matches the Rfam family "Bacterial small subunit ribosomal RNA", at positions 524 to 768 of the family's 1533-position model. The record is from RNAcentral. Lineage: Bacteria; Bacillati; Actinomycetota; Actinomycetes.